UACGUAGGGAGCAAGCGUUGUCCGGAAUCAUUGGGCGUAAAGCGCGCGUAGGUGGCUCUGUAAGUCCGUUGUGAAAGUCAAAGGCUCAACCUUUGAAAGCCGAUGGAUACUGCAGAGCUAGAGUACGGAAGAGGCGAGUGGAAUUCCUGGUGUAGCGGUGGAAUGCGCAGAUAUCAGGAGGAACACCGGUGGCGAAGGCGGGUCUCUGGGCCGUAACUGACGCUGAGGAGCGAAAGCAUGGGGAGCGAACAGG
This 253-nucleotide ribosomal RNA is filed under the name uncultured bacterium. RNAcentral's name for it is "partial 16S ribosomal RNA". It matches the Rfam family "Bacterial small subunit ribosomal RNA", at positions 524 to 776 of the family's 1533-position model. The record is from RNAcentral.